ACGGAUGAAUGUUUAACCUAUCGUUAUCUGUGAGCGGUCGGUGGGACUUUCGUUCGUGC
RNAcentral lists this microRNA precursor (59 nucleotides) under Xenoturbella bocki. RNAcentral describes it as "Xbo-Mir-278_pre stem-loop". The record is from RNAcentral. Lineage: Eukaryota; Metazoa; Xenacoelomorpha; Xenoturbellidae.